CGGACGGCGCGGGCCGGGCCUCGCUGCUGCUGCCGCGCUUCCCGGCUCGCGGAGCUCCGGGCCCGGGAGGGCGCUCGCUGUGUGACCCUGGGCGAGCGCGCGCGCCUCUCUGAGCCUCGGUGGCCUCCUCCGGCAAAAUGGUGGCGCCGGUACCCGGCUGUAAGGCGAGCGAGCCGGGAGCGGCCGGGGAGAGCGCUUCAGACCCAGGACGCUGCCUCCGAGUGACUUCGGGAAAUAGGGGUGACCGCGGCGUCGUUAGGAAGAUUGAGUGAGUGAAUAUUGAAAGUGGCCAGCACAGUACCUGCCCGCAGGAGUCUAGGAGGGAGACCAAGCAGGUCCGGCCCCGGGGCUGGGUUCGCCCUCCUCUUCCGAUCCCCCACAUUCCUGUUGGCCAGCCAGGCCUCUCUGCGGCACCGGCUGGGCUCCCGGCCUGGAGACCCGUACCCACGUCUCACCUGGGCCCCAGAAUCACCACCUCUGCCACGCUGCCUUCUCCCUCCGGAUAUUCAGGUGCAUCCCGGGUGAUGGGUACCAUAGGCAGCUCAGCCUCAAGGUUAAGGACGCAGGAGAGCUCCAGCUUGGCCCAGCUCUGCUGCAAGCAGGCACUUUUACCCAAGCUUGUAGAACAUGGAAUUAAAAGGGGCUGGCACUGUGGCGCAGCAGGUUAAUGCCCUGGCCUGAAGCACUGGCAUCCCAUAUGGGCACCGUUUUGAGACCCGGCUGCUCCUCCUCCAAUCCAGCUCUCUGCUAUGGCCUGGGAAAGCAGUAGAAGAUGGCUCAGGUCCUUGGGCCCCUGCACCCACGUGGGAGACCCAGAAGAAGCUCCUGGCUCUUGGCUGCAGAUCAGCGUAGCUCCGGCCUUUGUGGCCAAUUGGGGAGUGAACCAUCAGAUGGAAGACCUCUCUCUCUCUGCCUCUCCUCUGUGUAACUCUGACUUUCAAAUAAAUAAAUAUCUCAAAACAAAACAAAACACAAGAAUGUGUACAGGAGAACAACUUGUCCUACAAGGGAAGGAGAGAGAGUAGAGAGAGCUUCAGCAAAGGGGUUCGUGUUGAUCUGCGUCUAAGAGGCUGAAUACGAGUUCAUCAGGUGGAUGGGGAGGGCUGUACUUGGCAAGGGAAAGCACGUGCCAAGGUCGCAUUCAGAGAGCUAAAGGGACCAAAGACUCUGGACAGCACCCAGGGCACCCAGGGUCAGACUCCUGAGACCCAGCCCUGCUCUUUCCUUGCCAAGCGUCCCUGAGCUCCCUUCUCUGAGCCUCAGGAUGCACAUCUGUAAAGUGGGUGCGACAGUCCCCUUUUGGGUCACCCCUGGGAAUAACAGAUGUGUGUACAGGUCCAUCCAAACAAGCUGGACUACUUGUACAGUCCACCCCCAUGGAUGGUCAGGAGGGCACUCAAGGUCGAAGCAAAGUGACCAGGAGCACAGCUUAGCUCCGCCCAGCUCCACUCCACCUGCCCAAACACAGACACACACACACACACCCCCAUGACACACCUGCUGGAAAUCCCAUGUCUAGGUGUCCUGUCUCUGUAAAUGGUUUAUGAGCCCCCCGGGAGAGGGUACUGGAGGGGGGGCAAAUUCAUCAGAAGUUACUGACGCUGGACCAGAGGCGAGGCUUGUAAUUUUGGCGACUGAGUCCUCAGGAGCAGAAUUUAACUGCAACUACUACGGAGGUAGCACCAGGAAAAGCCCAAGGAAGUAGUGAAGGCCUGGUGCAGGGACGAGAGCAGGAGCACCUGCCUGGUGGGCAGAUACGAAGGUGCAGGGGAAGCCGGAGAGCCGGCCACGUCCUCCCAGGCAGGGGCCAAGGAGAAAGAAGAUGAAAGUUGGAGGCAUCUGGGCGAGAGGAGUCUGUAGCGGUGGGAUCACAGAGGAUCCCCAGAUGCCAGGUACCAGGACUAGGGGAUUACUCCGUGGACGUCAGAGUUUUUGAGCGAGGGAGGCACCUGGAGAUAUCUCCGCCCUCUCACAGGCCUACCAUACCUGCGGCUCUAAAGCGAGUGCGAGGAGGCUCCAGCACAGAGCCCCCCCCCUCCCCCCCCCGCACUGGGUCUGGAGGGAGCUGGUGUCCCCUCUCCCAGUCUGCACCCACAGCCACAGCCUUUGUUCCCUGGAGGCUGCCUUCAGCCCUGGAAGGAACUCGGGCUUUUCUGGGUCCGGUUCCAAGCAGUCCCAGCCCCAGCCGGUCGGUCGGAGGAAAAGAGCUCCCAGGGGCCGGAGAGGAGGUGCCAGGGGCACGGGCUGAUGCUGGCGCCGUGCGUGCCCGAGCGCACGCACCGUGGGUGGGACGCAGCGGAGUGUGGGUGGAGGCGGGGCCGAGCAGCUCAGGAGUCGCGGAAGCAUUGCAUCAAAAAUAUUAUUCAAGGCAGACAUUUGGCACGGUGGUUAAGAUUGCUUGAGAGACCUGGAUUCCAUCAUGAGGUUCCCGGUUCAAGUCCCAGGUCCACUUCCAAUUCCAGCUACCCUAGAAGACAGCAGAAGCUGGUCUGAAGUCCUGGGCUCCCUGCCACUCAUACAGAAGACCCGGACUGGGUUUCUGGCUCCUGGCUUCACCCUGGCCCAGACCUGGCUUUUGUGGGCUUUGGGGAAGUGAGCAAGUGUGUGGAAGAUCUCCCUCUCUCUCACUCUGUCUCUCUGUCUCUCUCUCUCUGUGUGUGUGUGUGUGUGUGUGUCUCUCUCUCUCUGUCUCUUUCCCACUCUCUGCCUUUCAAGCAAAAUGAAGAAAUAAAUAAAGAUUUUAAAAGCCAAAAAUAUUCUUUAUCUAGAUGACUGAAUUUAUUGGCACCCCAUCCCCGCUAUGUUUUCUGCGAGAGACCAGUGCCUCUCUUACCACCCUCUGCUCCUGUCCCUGCUGGUGACAUUUGUACCUCAUCCGGGUGCCAGUCACACAUAUGUGUUUACUUUGUAAAAAUGCAUGGAACUG
This is a non-coding RNA of Oryctolagus cuniculus (rabbit), 2926 nucleotides long. The record is from RefSeq and is a predicted model, not a curated record. NCBI's taxonomy places the organism in Eukaryota, Metazoa, Chordata, Mammalia, Lagomorpha, Leporidae.